This 1346-nucleotide ribosomal RNA is filed under the name uncultured bacterium. Its description in RNAcentral is "partial 16S ribosomal RNA". It matches the Rfam family "Bacterial small subunit ribosomal RNA", at positions 28 to 1381 of the family's 1533-position model. The record is from RNAcentral.
GACGAACGCUUGCGGCGUGCUUAACACAUGCAAGUCGAACGGAAAGGCCCUGCUUUUGUGGGGUGCUCGAGUGGCGAACGGGUGAGUAACACGUGAGUAACCUGCCCUUGACUUUGGGAUAACUUCAGGAAACUGGGGCUAAUACCGGAUAGGAGCUCCUGCUGCAUGGUGGGGGUUGGAAAGUUUCGGCGGUUGGGGAUGGACUCGCGGCUUAUCAGCUUGUUGGUGGGGUAGUGGCUUACCAAGGCUUUGACGGGUAGCCGGCCUGAGAGGGUGACCGGCCACAUUGGGACUGAGAUACGGCCCGGACUCCUACGGGAGGCAGCAGUGGGGAAUAUUGCACAAUGGGCGGAAGCCUGAUGCAGCAACGCCGCGUGCGGGAUGACGGCCUUCGGGUUGUAAACCGCUUUCGCCUGUGACGAAGCGUGAGUGACGGUAAUGGGUAAAGAAGCACCGGCUAACUACGUGCCAGCAGCCGCGGUGAUACGUAGGGUGCGAGCGUUGUCCGGAUUUAUUGGGCGUAAAGGGCUCGUAGGUGGUUGAUCGCGUCGGAAGUGUAAUCUUGGGGCUUAACCCUGAGCGUGCUUUCGAUACGGGUUGACUUGAGGAAGGUAGGGGAGAAUGGAAUUCCUGGUGGAGCGGUGGAAUGCGCAGAUAUCAGGAGGAACACCAGUGGCGAAGGCGGUUCUCUGGGCCUUUCCUGACGCUGAGGAGCGAAAGCGUGGGGAGCGAACAGGCUUAGAUACCCUGGUAGUCCACGCUGUAAACGGUGGGUACUAGGUGUGGGGUCCAUUCCACGGGUUCCGUGCCGUAGCUAACGCUUUAAGUACCCCGCCUGGGGAGUACGGCCGCAAGGCUAAAACUCAAAGGAAUUGACGGGGCCCCGCACAAGCGGCGGAGCAUGCGGAUUAAUUCGAUGCAACGCGUAGAACCUUACCUGGGUUUGACAUGGAUCGGGAGUGCUCAGAGAUGGGUGUGCCUCUUUUGGGGUCGGUUCACAGGUGGUGCAUGGCUGUCGUCAGCUCGUGUCGUGAGAUGUUGGGUUAAGUCCCGCAACGAGCGCAACCCUUGUUCACUGUUGCCAGCACGUUAUGGUGGGGACUCAGUGGAGACCGCCGGGGUCAACUCGGAGGAAGGUGGGGAUGACGUCAAGUCAUCAUGCCCCUUAUGUCCAGGGCUUCACGCAUGCUACAAUGGCUGGUACAGAGAGUGGCGAGCCUGUGAGGGUGAGCGAAUCUCGGAAAGCCGGUCUCAGUUCGGAUUGGGGUCUGCAACUCGACCUCAUGAAGUCGGAGUCGCUAGUAAUCGCAGAUCAGCAACGCUGCGGUGAAUACGUUCCCGGGGCU